AUAGUACUCCCUCCGUCCGGAAUUACUUGUCGCAGAAAUGGAUGUAUCUAGACGUAUUUUUAGUUCUAGAUACAUUCAUUUCUAUCCAUUUUUGCGAGUAAUUUGGGGCGGAGGGAGUAGAAA
Triticum aestivum (bread wheat) is the source of this 123-nucleotide non-coding RNA. Lineage: Eukaryota; Viridiplantae; Streptophyta; Magnoliopsida; Poales; Poaceae. The record is from Rfam.